This 324-nucleotide ribosomal RNA is filed under the name uncultured bacterium. RNAcentral's name for it is "bacterial SSU rRNA". It matches the Rfam family "Bacterial small subunit ribosomal RNA", at positions 28 to 334 of the family's 1533-position model. The record is from RNAcentral.
GAUGAACGCUGGCGGCGUGCUUAACACAUGCAAGUCGAGCGAAGCACUUUUUUAGAACUCUUCGGAGGGAAGAGAGGGUGACUUAGCGGCGGACGGGUGAGUAACGCGUGGGCAACCUGCCUUACACAGGGGGAUAACAAUUAGAAAUGAUUGCUAAUACCGCAUAAGACCCCGGUACCGCAUGGUACAGAGGUAAAAACUGAGGUGGUGUAAGAUGGGCCCGCGUCUGAGUAGGUAGUUGGUGGGGUAGAAGCCUACCAAGCCGACGAUCAGUAGCCGACCUGAGAGGGCGACCGGCCACAUUGGGACUGAGACACGGCCCAA